UUCACCACAUGCGUUUCUAUUCCUAGUUGUAAGUGAAUAUUGAGGUGACUUAAAUCAUUGUGUGGGUCAUCCCUUCUGUUGCUAAUCCGAUAGAUGCUAACUCUUUGGUUCUAUUGGUUGACUGUCCCUGUUAAAGGUGUGUUUUAGUGAGUGUAACAUCAGUGACAUUCACCUGAACAGGUGUGUUUGUUUUUCCAGAUCCACACGGCUCGUCUUCCUCGGCUGCAGACUCCACCCUCUCCUGGCUGGGAGUGAUGCGCCACCUGCUGGUAGUGUCCCCGUACUGCGUCGCCACCAUCCUCAUGGUGUCCGUGUUCCGACACAGGCCCACAGGAAGGAACCAGCCUGUUGUUAUGACGACGUCUCCACCCAGCGAGGAUGACGAGGGAUUGGACCAAGCGUACGAUGAUGUCAUUGCUGACGUCACCACCGAGUAUCGAUUCUAAACUUUGUUGUUGUUUUGUAUAGUUAAAUAUAUGUUUUUACGUCGUGUUUUCAGCUUCUCUGUCGUGUUCGUCCGUUCUCGUGAACUCGAUAUCUCAGGAACAUCUGGAGGGAAUGUCUUCAGAUUUAGUCACAAACACCUGGACUCAAAGGUGAACUGAUCGCUGUGGUCUUUAAUUGUUACUUUGAUGCAUUUCCUCUUGAUUGUAUUUGGCUUCACAGCUGAAAAACUACAGUUUUAUUAAAACCUCUUGCACACGA
Long non-coding RNA from Anarrhichthys ocellatus (wolf-eel), 705 nucleotides. RefSeq lists it as uncharacterized. The record is from RefSeq and is a predicted model, not a curated record. NCBI's taxonomy places the organism in Eukaryota, Metazoa, Chordata, Actinopteri, Perciformes, Anarhichadidae. The transcript has 2 exons.